AAAUGAAUAGACGGGGGCCCGCACAAGCGGAGGAACAUGUGGUUUAAUUCGAUGAUACGCGAGGAACCUUACCCGGGCUUGAAAUGCUUCUGACCGACCAAGAAAUUGGUUUUCUAGCAAUAGCAGAAGUGUAGGUGCUGCAUGGUUGUCGUCAGCUCGUGCCGUGAGGUGUCGGCUUAAGUGCCAUAACGAGCGCAACCCUCAUCAUUAGUUACUAACAGGUUACGCUGAGGACUCUAAUGAGACUGCCAUCGUAAGAUGCGAGGAAGGUGGGGAUGACGUCAAAUCAGCACGGCCCUUACGUCCGGGGCGACACACGUGUUACAAUGGGUGGUACAAAGGGCUGCUAUUGGGUGACCAUGUGCAAAUCUCAAAAACCAUUCUCAGUUCGGAUUGGAGUCUGCAACUCGACUCUAUGAAGCUGGAUUCGCUAGUAAUCGUAUAUCAGCCAUGAUACGGUGAAUACGUUCCCGGGCCUUGUACACACCGCCCGU
This 494-nucleotide ribosomal RNA is filed under the name uncultured bacterium. Its description in RNAcentral is "bacterial SSU rRNA". It matches the Rfam family "Bacterial small subunit ribosomal RNA", at positions 903 to 1397 of the family's 1533-position model. The record is from RNAcentral.